Andrographis paniculata is the source of this 2015-nucleotide long non-coding RNA. RefSeq lists it as uncharacterized. The transcript is spliced from 4 exons. The record is from RefSeq and is a predicted model, not a curated record. NCBI's taxonomy places the organism in Eukaryota, Viridiplantae, Streptophyta, Magnoliopsida, Lamiales, Acanthaceae.
CUAGCCGCCGCUCGCCUUCUUCUUCCUCUUACAUUUUCUUCUUUGUUUCCAUUUUUUCUUGUUUCUCAUUCUUCCUCUUCCUCUUCUUUGUUUACUUCUUCCGCCUCUUCUUCCUUAUUUCCUUUCUUUCUUCGUUUACUUCUUCUUUUUUGUUUCAUUUUUCUUCUUCUCUAGAGCAGCCGUUGUCCGCCUGUUCCGUUCGUGGUCCCCGAUUGAUGUUGGAGAUGAAAACCGAAGACACCAUUGUCACCGAUAGGAGCUUUCUGGCGAAAGAAAGAAGGCUCUUCGGAAGUUCCCAAAAGAAACUGAAAGAGACGAAUCUUGAUUAAACUACCUUAGAUGCUUUACCAUUAUUUUCAAAGCUUCUCCUCCGUGUCAACCGCAAUUGUUCGAAGGCAAAAAAAUAUGCAAGUAUGAGGAUUUAGUAGAUCAGCCCCUCCCCUCAGCCCCCUUCAAAAUUCUGCACCACGAAAAAUUCUGCAAUCAGGGAAGUUUUUCUUGGCUUUGAAUAUUGAUAAUAUAUAAGUUUGCUUCUUGAUUGUUUGUUUGUAUAUGUCUUGAUUGUUGUAGGUUAGAUUAGAUUGGUUUAGGUUGUUUAAUUUCUGUCUAGUUCCUUAACCUUGUUGUUGCAGUAGGAUAAUUUGUGUUGUUCUGUUUCUUGAAUUUCCUUGGCUAAGAUGAGCUGCUCCUUUAAUUAACUUAGAUUGGUAUUGUUGUAAAUCUAAGUUAGUUUUGUGUUUAUUUAGUUGUUUAGGUUUAGAACUUGUUAAUUAAGCUUGGAUUCAAUUUUAGUCGAUGUUUAAUAUAAUUGUUAUUUACUAGUAGGUUUGCACUUCAUUGUGAAGUUCUAAUGAAUCAGAGAUUCUCAUCAGCAUUGAAUAGAAGGUGGGAGUCCAUGUCCACACUUAUGGAAGCGUGUUUCGUGAUUUUAUCAUUUUCAAAUCAUUAUUCCUUUGGUCGGAUAAUUUAUCCUUGGGAACAACCUGAAGAUUAUUUCUCUUGCUGAUGAUGAAUUUCUGAGUAGCUUUUAGCUCUGAAUGAUGCUGAGAAUCUAGAGGAUCUGUUUGAUGGUAUUAUAUAACAAUCGAGGUUCUCCAUUUGUUUGACUAUGUGUGAAGCAACAUGAAAAUAUCAAAUUGCACUGAUGCUUUUUUAGAUACAACAUUGUUGUAGCAAGUGAAGCAUUUUUGUAUCAUUUAUUUUGAUUAAUGUGUUGCAGAGUAGCAUAUUCAAGGGUCAGCCUAUUUUAUUAGUGCUUUUCGAGUUUAUUUGUUACUAUACUUGUAUUUAAGAUAAGGUCCCUUGAUUAAGCUAAAACGUAAGUUUUAUUUUAUUAUAUUCAUCCAUAUUGUUUACAGAGGCAGACCUUUCUUGUAACUAGCGCUCGUUUAACCUAUUUAUAUAGGUGAUACCCUAGCCAUUGUUAAGGUGUAUGUUACAGCUGUAAUAGUCCCGGAGACCGCACUUAUCCUUCCAACUAAUGCUAGAGCAAAAAUUCUCGUUGAUGUAUCCUUCCAACUAAUGCUAGAGCAAAAAUUCUUGUUGAUGUAUUCGACGGAGAUAAUAUCGAGUAGAUUUAUCAGGAUGUACAUAUUUUUUUUAUUUACUUUAUUCCUUUGGAAAUUAAAUUACUUCAAUUUUUAUAUUAAAUGCUUAUAUAUUAUUAAAAACACAUUGCAGUUGGUUCGCCGUCCGUGAUUGCAUACUCCAUGAUUCUGCACUCGACGAGCUGGGUCAUUCAUAGUUGUAUUUAUGAGUUGCCCUUAAGAUCGUACUUACGUAUGAUAUCAGAUUUAUCUAUUUACGUAUUACUUUUUGGUUUUGCGUAUCGUUAUUUAGUAGGUUGUUAUGUUGGUGUACGGAUUGGUGUUUUUUUGGGAUGUUUUGUUAGCACCGUUGACGACUAAUAUUUUAUUUUUGGCUGGACUAUGAACAUCGUUGUAUUGAUGACCAUGUGUAGUAUUACCAUGGAUUUGGAAAAAAUUAUGAUAAGAUUAGGUUUUAAAUUAUUUGUC